UAUCAGGCAUUGACGAAGAGGAGUAUGCUAAGGGUCAGCGCAAUAGAGAGACCGUACAAGGCUGAAAGACGGUUGCGCAGGAUUUUGCAGAAGGUAGCUUCCGAGCUUCCGGGCAGAAAUUAAGUAAGUCCGGACGGUUUAUUCGAACCGUUAAUUUAUCGAGUGCCCAUGUCAGUGGGAAAAAAGGUGGUACCGCGGAGUCUUCGUCCUUUUA
RNAcentral lists this non-coding RNA (214 nucleotides) under Youngiibacter fragilis. RNAcentral describes it as "T-box sequence". It matches the Rfam family "T-box leader". Rfam says of the family: Uncharged tRNA acts as the effector for transcription antitermination of genes in the T-box leader family. The record is from RNAcentral. Lineage: Bacteria; Bacillati; Bacillota; Clostridia; Eubacteriales; Clostridiaceae.